AUCACACGGCGUUGUUUUUCUUGACAACAACUCCCGCAGCUCGUCACUAUGUUCAAGAAUCACCCGGGGGAUUUCUAAAGAGCCCUUACGGAGUGUGGAAAGCGGGUCAUUACAUCACCACGGGGAGGCGGGGCUUAUGACGCGGUCGCCAGGGCAACCGGCUCCGGGAAUCCCAGCGCACCUGAGGGGAACCUGAUUUGUGAAGCAGCGCAGAGCCCAGAUCCGCCGUCGCUAUAUAUAGACGCGCACCUGCGGCGGCAACAUGAUUCUCGCGUCGCUGGCCCGAGGAACGCUGCUCCUGCCCGCACGACGCCUCCACGCCUCUGCCGUCGCGAACAUGCCCAUCAAGGUAAGAGCCAGCCCGGCCUCUGCGGGACACGGGCUGCGGGGGUUGGGGACCGGGGCUGCCGGCGGUGCAGGUCUCGGUGGGCGGCGGCGGU
Molecule: non-coding RNA, 440 nt
Organism: Lepisosteus oculatus (spotted gar)
Lineage: Eukaryota; Metazoa; Chordata; Actinopteri; Semionotiformes; Lepisosteidae
Source: RefSeq, a predicted model, not a curated record